RNAcentral lists this ribosomal RNA (468 nucleotides) under uncultured bacterium. RNAcentral's name for it is "partial 16S ribosomal RNA". It matches the Rfam family "Bacterial small subunit ribosomal RNA", at positions 28 to 507 of the family's 1533-position model. The record is from RNAcentral.
GACGAACGCUGGCGGCGUGCUUAACACAUGCAAGUCGAACGGAAAGGCCCUGCUUUUGUGGGGUGCUCGAGUGGCGAACGGGUGAGUAACACGUGAGUAACCUGCCCUUGACUUUGGGAUAACUUCAGGAAACUGGGGCUAAUACCGGAUAGGAGCUCCUGCUGCAUGGUGGGGGUUGGAAAGUUUCGGCGGUUGGGGAUGGACUCGCGGCGUAUCAGCUUGUUGGUGGGGUAGUGGCUUACCAAGGCUUUGACGGGUAGCCGGCCUGAGAGGGUGACCGGCCACAUUGGGACUGAGAUACGGCCCAGACUCCUACGGGAGGCAGCAGUGGAGAAUAUUGCACAAUGGGCGGAAGCCUGAUGCAGCAACGCCGCGUGCGGGAUUACGGCCUUCGGGUUGUAAACCGCUUUCGCCAGGGACGAAGCGUGAGUGACGGUAAUGGGUAAAGAAGCACCGGCUAACUACGUG